RNAcentral lists this ribosomal RNA (433 nucleotides) under uncultured bacterium. RNAcentral describes it as "partial 16S ribosomal RNA". It matches the Rfam family "Bacterial small subunit ribosomal RNA", at positions 29 to 507 of the family's 1533-position model. The record is from RNAcentral.
AACGAACGCUGGCGGCAUGCCUAACACAUGCAAGUCGAACGAGACCUUCGGGUCUAGUGGCGCACGGGUGCGUAACGCGUGGGAACCUGCCCUUAGGUUCGGAAUAACUCCCCGGAAGGGGUGCUAAUACCGGAUAAUGUCUUCGGACCAAAGGUUUAUCGCCUUUGGAUGGGCCCGCGUUGGAUUAGCUAGUUGGUAGGGUAAAAGCCUACCAAGGCGACGAUCCGUAGCUGGUCUGAGAGGAUGAUCAGCCACACUGGGACUGAGACGCGGCCCAGACUCGUACGGGAGGCAGCAGUGGGGAAUAUUGGACAAUGGGCGAUAGACUGAUCCAGCGAUGCCGCGUGAGUGAUGAAGGCCUUAGGGUUGUAAAGCUCUUUUACCCGGGAUGAUAAUGACAGUACCGGGAGAAUAAGCUCCGGCUAACUACGUG